This 761-nucleotide ribosomal RNA is filed under the name Bacillus subtilis. RNAcentral describes it as "bacterial SSU rRNA". It matches the Rfam family "Bacterial small subunit ribosomal RNA", at positions 555 to 1316 of the family's 1533-position model. Lineage: Bacteria; Bacillati; Bacillota; Bacilli; Caryophanales; Bacillaceae. The record is from RNAcentral.
UGGGCGUAAAGGGCUCGCAGGCGGUUUCUUAAGUCUGAUGUGAAAGCCCCCGGCUCAACCGGGGAGGGUCAUUGGAAACUGGGAAACUUGAGUGCAGAAGAGGAGAGUGGAAUUCCACGUGUAGCGGUGAAAUGCGUAGAGAUGUGGAGGAACACCAGUGGCGAAGGCGACUCUCUGGUCUGUAACUGACGCUGAGGAGCGAAAGCGUGGGGAGCGAACAGGAUUAGAUACCCUGGUAGUCCACGCCGUAAACGAUGAGUGCUAAGUGUUAGGGGGUUUCCGCCCCUUAGUGCUGCAGCUAACGCAUUAAGCACUCCGCCUGGGGAGUACGGUCGCAAGACUGAAACUCAAAGGAAUUGACGGGGGCCCGCACAAGCGGUGGAGCAUGUGGUUUAAUUCGAAGCAACGCGAAGAACCUUACCAGGUCUUGACAUCCUCUGACAACCCUAGAGAUAGGGCUUUCCCUUCGGGGACAGAGUGACAGGUGGUGCAUGGUUGUCGUCAGCUCGUGUCGUGAGAUGUUGGGUUAAGUCCCGCAACGAGCGCAACCCUUGAUCUUAGUUGCCAGCAUUCAGUUGGGCACUCUAAGGUGACUGCCGGUGACAAACCGGAGGAAGGUGGGGAUGACGUCAAAUCAUCAUGCCCCUUAUGACCUGGGCUACACACGUGCUACAAUGGACAGAACAAAGGGCUGCGAGACCGCAGGGUUUAUCCAAUCCCACAAAUCUGUUCUCAGUUCGGAUCGCAGUCUGCAACUCGAC